AUUGAACGCUGGCGGCAGGCCUAACACAUGCAAGUCGAACGGUAACAGGAAGCAGCUUGCUGCUUCGCUGACGAGUGGCGGACGGGUGAGUAAUGUCUGGGAAGCUGCCUGAUGGAGGGGGAUAACUACUGGAAACGGUAGCUAAUACCGCAUAAUGUCGCAAGACCAAAGAGGGGGACCUUCGGGCCUCUUGCCAUCGGAUGUGCCCAGAGGGGAUUAGCUUGUUGGUGGGGUAACGGCUCACCAAGGCGACGAUCCCUAGCUGGUCUGAGAGGAUGACAAGCCACACUGGAACUGAGACACGGUCCAGACUCCUACGGGAGGCAGCAGUGGGGAAUAUUGCACAAUGGGCGCAAGCCUGAUGCAGCCAUGCCGCGUGUAUGAAGAAGGCCUUCGGGUUGUAAAGUACUUUCAGCGGGGAGGAAGGGAGUAAAGUUAAUACCUUUGCUCAUUGACGUUACCCGCAGAAGAAGCACCGGCUAACUCCGU
Molecule: ribosomal RNA, 489 nt
Filed under: uncultured bacterium
Lineage: Bacteria
Description: partial 16S ribosomal RNA
Rfam family: Bacterial small subunit ribosomal RNA
Source: RNAcentral